Molecule: ribosomal RNA, 253 nt
Filed under: uncultured bacterium
Lineage: Bacteria
Description: partial 16S ribosomal RNA
Rfam family: Bacterial small subunit ribosomal RNA
Source: RNAcentral
UACGUAGGGUGCAAGCGUUGUCCGGAAUUAUUGGGCGUAAAGAGCUCGUAGGCGGUUCGUCGCGUCGGCUGUGAAAACCUGAGGCUCAACCUCAGGCCUGCAGUCGAUACGGGCGGACUUGAGUACUGCAGGGGAGACUGGAAUUCCUGGUGUAGCGGUGAAAUGCGCAGAUAUCAGGAGGAACACCGGUGGCGAAGGCGGGUCUCUGGACCGAUACUGACGCUGAGGCGCGAAAGCGUGGGGAGCAAACAGG